This 939-nucleotide long non-coding RNA is filed under the name Homo sapiens (human). Its description in RNAcentral is "HSALNT0133875". Lineage: Eukaryota; Metazoa; Chordata; Mammalia; Primates; Hominidae. The record is from RNAcentral.
CUAAAACCUAGCUUAAAGCAACAAAUGUUUAUCAUCUCACAGCCUCUGUAGAACAAGAAUUCAGGCCCACUUCAGCUGGUGCCUCUGGUUCCAGCUCUUAUCUCUAAGGAGGCUGCAAUUGAGGUGUCAGCCAGGGCUGCAGUCAUCUCAAGCAUCCAUGGAUGUGAGGGGGAUUAUCUGCUCCAAGCUCACUCAAGUGGCUGUUGGCAGGAUUCGCUUCUGCACUAGCUGCUGGCUUGAGAACUCCCUCAGCUCCUGGCCCUGUAGGCCUCUCUAUGGGGCAGCACCCAACAGGACAGCUGCUGCCAGCAGGAUAAAGAAAUUAAGGCCCACAGGGGUUAACAAUUUGCUCAAAUGCAUGACCAGUGACUAGCGAGUGCAGAACCGAACACUGAAUUCACGUCUCUCUGACUCAAAAUUUGCACUUUCCACUCUCCAUGCUCCUGCAGAUGGGCAGCCAUUGCUUCAUGCAAUACAUCUCCUUUUCAUCUGUAGAAUGGGAAGAAUCACUCUGUAUUUUCUGCUUUUCUUUAAAAUGGAGAUUGUGCUUGAAAAUCUCUCAAACAUUGUAUAUUAGCUUUGUUAUAAAUACCACUUGGUUGGUGCCUUGAAAUCCAGACCCAUUCAUUCAAGCUGCACAAAACACCACAGAGCCAAAAAGAAGCCUCACCUACUGAGACCUGUAAAUAUCUCUUUCAAAUGGUAAACAGCUUGCUGGAAUACUGCUUACUUCUGACUUGAUGGCAUGCAAACUGAGACAACUGUGCACUCCAUUGUACAGUACUUUAAAUGUAUCUUGAAGUCUUAACACAUAACAGUGUAUUUAGGAUGCAUCUCAUGUACAACUGUGCACGUGUGUGUGUUAAAUAAGCAACUAGACACAUUUUUCUCUUAGAGUCACUGGUAAAAUAUGGAGUCAUAAGACUUAGUGCUAACACG